Lathyrus oleraceus (garden pea) is the source of this 1309-nucleotide long non-coding RNA. RefSeq lists it as uncharacterized. The transcript has 3 exons. The record is from RefSeq and is a predicted model, not a curated record. NCBI's taxonomy places the organism in Eukaryota, Viridiplantae, Streptophyta, Magnoliopsida, Fabales, Fabaceae.
GUUGGUGGUAAUCAUCUCCUUGUGCCACUUCUUUAAAAAGGUACGUGACCAACUAUGUUGAAGUCUGUGGUGGAGAGGCCAUCUAGUCCUCUAUAUCGAAUGGAAUUAAUGAAUAAUUCCUUGUGUGGUGUCAACAAGCCUCAUAGAUAUAGCUCAACCUUUUGCAUCUCAGACACCUUCACUUUAGCCUUCUGCAUCUCAUGCUUCUGAGGCCAAAGGUUGUGGCUCAACUGAUCCAACUCCAUCAGGCACAUGUGUACUUCUAAGACCAAGUUUGUGGCUUAACUGAUCCAACUGAUCCAACUCCAUCAACAACAUGAGUAAGACACGAUGGACUGGGGCACGAGAGGAUUGCACAACAUGCAUCAGUGCAACGGGAGAAGAGUCAGGUUUCGGAGGCUCUUGUUCACUCUAGACAUAUGAAGGCAUCUACUUUGGGACUCAUGUUUCUCACGUUUCUUCAUAUUCUUUUUCCCGUAGGAGACAUGUUUUACCUACCGAUGCAUCACUCCCUCCAUCCUUCUGCAGACGUCAGGUUUCACCUAUUCAUGCGCUAGAGAUAUCCGAGUCACAAUGUGGUAUCGGAGGCACUAGUGCCACCUCCGACAUAUGAUGCUUUUGAGCCAGUGGCACCUCUUGAUGGUGAGAUUGUUGCAGAUGAUGAGCCAGAGGUACCUCAGACAUUUAGAGAAGGCCCUGUAAAGUUGUUAUUAUUGCCUCUGUACUCAGACCAUACUGUCAGACAUAUCUGGGACGGAGAGGACCGUUAUCCGCUGAAGUUUAUUAACCACAGGCAGAAGAUUACUGACUUGCCUCAACCGAAUGAGGAUUGGUUUAAGGCAGCUUUGUCCCUAUCUGGGAUGAAAGACUUGUGCAUGAUCAAUUAUACUACAGUCAACCACUGGAUACUUAAUGCAUUCGUGGAGAAAUGGCACACCGAGACCUUGUCAUUUCAUCUCCCACUUAGUGAGAUGUCUAUCACACUCGACGAUGUGUCGUAUUUGCUGCAUCUUUCGAUCAGGGGAAACUUCUAGAUCACGUGAGGAUUAACAAAGAAGAGAAGCUGGAGUUGAUGGUAGACUAUUUGGGAGUUGACACAGAGGUUUCGUUGACAGAGAUAGAGAGAACCAGAGGGGCUCAUGUUAGGUUUGAACUUCUGGAAAAUGUAUAUACAGAUGAACUCUAGAGGGUAGGGAAUGCUAGAGGUGAUGGCGAGCAAUCAUAUUAUUGUCCUGAUGAGAUAAAUCGACUUUUCUUCUUAGACCUCAGAUUUGCUUAAUUCACGUGACAUCUUGGUUUCUUUUGAUCA